CCCGCACAAGCGGUGGAGCAUGUUGGUUUAAUUCGAAGCAACGCGAAGUACCUUACCAGGUCUUGACACUCCGAUGCUAUUUCUAGGGAUAGAAAGUUACUUCGGUACAUCGGUGACAGGUGGUGCAUGGUUGUCGUCAGCUCGUGUCGUGAGAUGUUGGGUUAAGUCCCGCAACGAGCGCAACCCCUAUUGUUAGUUGCCAUCAUUCAGUUGGGCACUCUAGCGAGACUGCCGGUAAUAAACCGGAGGAAGUGGGGAUGACGUCAAAUCAUCAUGCCCCUUAUGACCUGGGCUACACACGUGCUACAAUGGUUGGUACAACGAGUUGCGAGUCGGUGACGGCGAGCUAAUCUCUUAAAGCCAAUCUCAGUUCGGAUUGUAGGCUGCAACUCGCCUACAUGAAGUCGGAAUCGCUAGUAAUCGCGGAUCAGCACGCCGCGGUGAAUACGUUCCCGGGCCUU
This 461-nucleotide ribosomal RNA is filed under the name uncultured Streptococcus sp. RNAcentral describes it as "bacterial SSU rRNA". It matches the Rfam family "Bacterial small subunit ribosomal RNA", at positions 920 to 1382 of the family's 1533-position model. Lineage: Bacteria; Bacillati; Bacillota; Bacilli; Lactobacillales; Streptococcaceae. The record is from RNAcentral.